UAAAAGGGUCGGUUGGUUAAAUAUACCACGCACGGCUUCGCUGUGUGCUGUAUGGACUAUCAAGACAUAUGGCCGACACAAUUUCUUUCUCUCCAAUAGGGUUGGCAUAACUGCCGACCCUCCG
RNAcentral lists this small nuclear RNA (124 nucleotides) under Marchantia polymorpha subsp. ruderalis. RNAcentral describes it as "U11 spliceosomal RNA". It matches the Rfam family "U11 spliceosomal RNA". The record is from Rfam by way of RNAcentral. Lineage: Eukaryota; Viridiplantae; Streptophyta; Marchantiopsida; Marchantiales; Marchantiaceae.